This 424-nucleotide ribosomal RNA is filed under the name Verrucomicrobiota bacterium. RNAcentral describes it as "Verrucomicrobia bacterium partial 16S ribosomal RNA". It matches the Rfam family "Bacterial small subunit ribosomal RNA", at positions 355 to 776 of the family's 1533-position model. Lineage: Bacteria; Pseudomonadati; Verrucomicrobiota. The record is from RNAcentral.
UGAGGAAUAUUGGUCAAUGGACGAGAGUCUGAACCAGCCAAGUAGCGUGCAGGAUGACGGCCCUAUGGGUUGUAAACUGCUUUUGUUUGGGAAUAAUCGACAUUACGUGUAAUGUUUUGCAUGUACCAUUCGAAUAAGGACCGGCUAAUUCCGUGCCAGCAGCCGCGGUAAUACGGAAGGUCCAGGCGUUAUCCGGAUUUAUAGGGUUUAAAGGGAGUGUAGGCGGUUGGUUAAGCGUGUUGUGAAAUGUAGAUGCUCAACAUCUGACUUGCAGCGCGAACUGGCUGACUUGAGUACACACAACGUAGGCGGAAUUCAUGGUGUAGCGGUGAAAUGCUUAGAUAUCAUGAAGAACUCCGAUUGCGAAGGCAGCUUACGGGAGUGUUACUGACGCUUAAGCUCGAAGGUGCGGGUAUCGAACAGG